UACGGAGGAUCCAAGCGUUAUCCGGAAUCAUUGGGUUUAAAGGGUCCGUAGGCGGUUUAGUAAGACAGAGGUGAAAGCCCAUCGCUCAACGGGGGAACGGCCAUUGAUACUGCUAAACUUGAAUUAUUAGGAAGUAACUAGAAUAUGUAGUGUAGCGGUGAAAUGCUUAGAGAUUACAUGGAAUACCAAUUGCGAAGGCAGGUUACUACUAAUGGAUUGACGCUGAUGGACGAAAGCGUGGGUAGCGAACAGGAUUAGAUACCCUGGUAGUCCACGCCGUAAACGAUGGAUACUAGCUGUUGGAAGCAAUUUCAGUGGCUAAGCGAAAGUGAUAAGUAUCCCACCUGGGGAGUACGUUCGCAAGAAUGAAACUCAAAGGAAUUGACGGGGGCCCGCACAAGCGGUGGAGCAUGUGGUUUAAUUCGAUGAUACGCGAGGAACCUUACCAAGGCUUAAAUGUAGAUUGACCGGUUUGGAAACAGACCUUUCGCAAGACAAUUUACAAGGUGCUGCAUGGGUGUCGUCAGCUCGUGCCGUGAGGGGUCAGGUUAAGUCCUAUAACGAGCGCAACCCCUGUUGUUAGUUGCCAGCGACUCAUGUCGGGACCUCCAACGAGACUGCCAGUGCAAACUGAGAGGAAGGUGGGGAAGACGUCAAAUCAUCCCGGCCCUUACGCCUUGGGCUACCCCCGUGCUACAAUGGCCGGUACAGAGAACAACCCCUGGGUGGCCCGGAGCGAAUUUACAAAACCGGUCACAGUUCGGAUCGGAGUUUGCAACUUGACUCCGUGAAACUGGAAUCGCUAGUAAUCGGAUAUCAACCAUGAUCCGGUGAAUACGUUCCCGGGCCU
This 850-nucleotide ribosomal RNA is filed under the name uncultured bacterium. RNAcentral's name for it is "SSU rRNA". It matches the Rfam family "Bacterial small subunit ribosomal RNA", at positions 524 to 1381 of the family's 1533-position model. The record is from RNAcentral.